This is a long non-coding RNA of Ahaetulla prasina, 874 nucleotides long. RefSeq lists it as uncharacterized. Lineage: Eukaryota; Metazoa; Chordata; Lepidosauria; Squamata; Colubridae. The record is from RefSeq and is a predicted model, not a curated record. The transcript has 4 exons.
GUCAAACUGAUGUCAGUUCUCUCUGCACAUUUGCAGUGGAGUUUGGCUCAAGGACUUUUGACAAAUACCUUGUGUAUGAUGUAUUUAAAAACCUGACUCAGAAUGCCUCCCUAAUGGGGAAAUACAGCCUGGACAAUAACAGCAUAAAUAUUAAUGCCUAUCCUUCAGCCAUGGUAACAACAGAACCAUCCAAACAAGGGCUACCUUACUGGGCCAUCAUCCUCAUAUGCUUCUCCAUUUUACUGGGUUCUAUCUUUUUCUUUCUUCUAUGUGUCUUGACUGUUGUGUGGGUGAAGAGGAGAGCAGGCCAGUACCAGAUCCAAAGGAACAUUUUUGGCCUCCAUUUCCCACAUAUGGACAUACAAAAAUCAUAGUGAUGUCGAUUUUGGAAAUUUGACUCCUUCCCUGCAAGAGGACCCUUUCCAUCUUGCACAUAUUGUGCAACAAAAAUAUGUUUACUAUAGCUGGAAUGAAUUUCUUGAUGAAGAAAGAUACUGCAUAUUAUGUGGAAGACUGCCAGACUGAUAGAUUGAUGGGGUGCCCUGUCAUCUUUAUUUUUUAUGUGUUGUGAAACUUGGAGUCUUUUUAAAUAUCUAUAAAAAACUACAGAUUAUAUUAUUUAAGUGCCAAAAAAAGAGAGAUUCUGCCUGGACCAAGGAUCAGUAUUAAACAGUUUGCAUUCUUUUGAGACUGCAAAGCAUCAAUGAACUCUAUUGCACAUUAAAAAAUGUAAAAAGAAAAUAUAUACUGUAUUCUUUUGCUCAAUCAGUAAACAUUUUACUUGUGUUUGUUUUUGAAGCAAGAAUUUUUGUCUUUCAAAGACAAUUAAGUUGUUGAAAUGGAAGACUUACAGUAUUUUUAUUUUAUUUGAGCU